CCUACGGGAGGCAGCAGUGGGGAAUUUUGGACAAUGGGCGAAAGCCUGAUCCAGCAAUGCCGCGUGAGUGAAGAAGGCCUUCGGGUUGUAAAGCUCUUUUGUCAGGGAAGAAACGGUGAGAGCUAAUAUCUCUUGCUAAUGACGGUACCUGAAGAAUAAGCACCGGCUAACUACGUGCCAGCAGCCGCGGUAAUACGUAGGGUGCAAGCGUUAAUCGGAAUUACUGGGCGUAAAGCGUGCGCAGGCGGUUUUGUAAGUCUGAUGUGAAAUCCCCGGGCUCAACCUGGGAAUUGCAUUGGAGACUGCAAGGCUAGAAUCUGGCAGAGGGGGGUAGAAUUCCACGUGUAGCAGUGAAAUGCGUAGAUAUGUGGAGGAACACCGAUGGCGAAGGCAGCCCCCUGGGUCAAGAUUGACGCUCAUGCACGAAAGCGUGGGGAGCAAACAGGAUUAGAUACCCUGGUAGUCCACGCCCUAAACGAUGUCUACUAGUUGUCGGGUUACUUAAUUGACUUGGUAACGCGAGCUACGACGUGAGUAGACCGCCGUGGGAGGUACGGUCGCGAGAGUUAAACGUUAAAGUAGAGUAGAGACGNGAGAGAGACGACGGACGACGACGAGGGAGAGG
This 625-nucleotide ribosomal RNA is filed under the name uncultured bacterium. RNAcentral describes it as "bacterial SSU rRNA". The stretch from base 1 to 544 matches the Rfam family "Bacterial small subunit ribosomal RNA", at positions 338 to 873 of the family's 1533-position model. The record is from RNAcentral.